RNAcentral lists this transfer RNA (59 nucleotides) under Gavia stellata (red-throated loon). It matches the Rfam family "tRNA". From Rfam's summary of the family: Transfer RNA (tRNA) molecules are approximately 80 nucleotides in length. Their secondary structure includes four short double-helical elements and three loops (D, anti-codon, and T loops). Lineage: Eukaryota; Metazoa; Chordata; Aves; Gaviiformes; Gaviidae. The record is from Rfam by way of RNAcentral.
GACCUCGUGGUGCAAUGGUAGCGCAUCUGACUCCAGAUCAGAAGGCCACGUCGGGGUCA